This 556-nucleotide ribosomal RNA is filed under the name Streptosporangium sp. 434C04. RNAcentral's name for it is "bacterial SSU rRNA". It matches the Rfam family "Bacterial small subunit ribosomal RNA", at positions 93 to 664 of the family's 1533-position model. Lineage: Bacteria; Bacillati; Actinomycetota; Actinomycetes; Streptosporangiales; Streptosporangiaceae. The record is from RNAcentral.
GAGCGGCGAACGGGUGAGUAACACGUGAGUAACCUGCCCCUGACUCUGGGAUAAGCCCGGGAAACUGGGUCUAAUACCGGAUACGACACCUCCCGGCAUCGGGUGGGUGUGGAAAGUUUUUUCGGUCGGGGAUGGACUCGCGGCCUAUCAGCUUGUUGGUGGGGUAACGGCCUACCAAGGCGACGACGGGUAGCCGGCCUGAGAGGGCGACCGGCCACACUGGGACUGAGACACGGCCCAGACUCCUACGGGAGGCAGCAGUGGGGAAUAUUGCGCAAUGGGCGAAAGCCUGACGCAGCGACGCCGCGUGGGGGAUGACGGCCUUCGGGUUGUAAACCUCUUUCAGCAGGGACGAAAUUGACGUGUACCUGCAGAAGAAGCGCCGGCUAACUACGUGCCAGCAGCCGCGGUAAUACGUAGGGCGCAAGCGUUGUCCGGAAUUAUUGGGCGUAAAAGAGCUCGUAGGUGGCUUGUCACGUCGGAUGUGAAAGCUUGGGGCUUAACUNCAGGUCUGCAUUCGAUACGGGCUGGCUAGAGGNUAGGUAGGGGAGAACGC